GGGAAUCUUGGACAAUGGGCGCAAGCCUGAUCCAGCCAUGCCGCGUGAGUGAUGAAGGCCCUAGGGCUGUAAAGUCCUUUAACGGGGAAGAUAAUGACGGUACCCGUAGAAUAAGCCCCGGCUAACUUCGUGCCAGCAGCCGCGGUAAUACGAAGGGGCUAGCGUUGCUCGGAAUUACUGGGCGUAAAGCGCACGUAGGCGGGUUGUUAAGUCGGGGUGAAAUCCUGGAGCUCAACUCCAGAACUGCCUUCGAAACUGACGAUCUUGAGUUCGGGAGAGGUGAGUGGAACUGCGAGUGUAGAGGUGAAAUUCGUAGAUAUUCGCAAGAACACCAGUGGCGAAGGCGGCUCACUGGCCCGAUACUGACGCUGAGGUGCGAAAGCGUGGGAGCAAACAG
Molecule: ribosomal RNA, 397 nt
Filed under: uncultured bacterium
Lineage: Bacteria
Description: bacterial SSU rRNA
Rfam family: Bacterial small subunit ribosomal RNA
Source: RNAcentral